RNAcentral lists this long non-coding RNA (209 nucleotides) under Zostera marina. RNAcentral's name for it is "long non-coding RNA (ZMAR_LNC005806)". The record is from RNAcentral. Lineage: Eukaryota; Viridiplantae; Streptophyta; Magnoliopsida; Alismatales; Zosteraceae.
AAGUGCCAUACGAAUUUUCCUUAUGUAUAUAUAUUUUUUUGUUUACUAACUCUUUAUGUUUUUUCGUAGGCUUGUUAUAUGGCUCAUGCAUGCUACAGUGUCGAUACCAUUCACGACACUGAGAAUAUACAAGAAAAAUACAAUCAGCUUGACGCGAAGUUCAAGGAAAGCGAGAAAUCUCUUGCCAAGCUGAAAAAUGUGAAGUCCCG